Molecule: ribosomal RNA, 255 nt
Filed under: uncultured bacterium
Lineage: Bacteria
Description: partial 16S ribosomal RNA
Rfam family: Bacterial small subunit ribosomal RNA
Source: RNAcentral
UACGUAGGGUGCGAGCGUUGUCCGGAAUUACUGGGCGUAAAGAGCUCGUAGGCGGUCUGUCGCGUCGGAUGUGAAAAAUCCAGGGCUCAACCCUGGACCUGCAUUCGAUACGGGCAGACUAGAGUGCGGUAGGGGUGACUGGAAUUCCUGGUGUAGCGGUGGAAUGCGCAGAUAUCAGGAGGAACACCGAUGGCGAAGGCAGGUCACUGGGCCGCAACUGACGCUGAGGAGCGAAAGCAUGGGGGAGCGAACAGG